Equus quagga is the source of this 1699-nucleotide long non-coding RNA. RefSeq lists it as uncharacterized. The transcript is spliced from 3 exons. NCBI's taxonomy places the organism in Eukaryota, Metazoa, Chordata, Mammalia, Perissodactyla, Equidae. The record is from RefSeq and is a predicted model, not a curated record.
CCUGGCCGGGGCGCUGGGUGGGCUGGGGCUGAGGCUGGAGCUAAUGGAGAUCCGGGGAGCCUGUGGGCUUGGGAAAAGGAGACUCUGAGAGUCCUGCUGCUCGGAGAAUCAUCAGAUGUCAGCACAGAGUGGCCGGACUGGACCAGACCCCAACACCCCAUGUUAGCAGAAAGGAAACCGGUGGGAAGCCUUUCCCAAGGCCAGACAUCGACUCCUGGCAGAGCUGGGAUUUCCUGACAAUGCAAACAAACCACCCUCUGUGUGGCUCAGGCUUGUUUUAAACAUCACGGAGCCCUGAGCAGAAGGGAAGGCCCAGGGCCAUGCUGGGAAGCCGGCGAGAAGCUCUGAGGGCAGCCACAAGAGGUCUGAAGCUUGCUACGACAAGUAAAGAUCAAAUCAGAAGCUGAACGCCCUGAGGCUUUGAAAGAUAGAGAGUGAUUUGUGGCCCCUCCAGUGAAAAGGCUGCUGCCAUUGUUAACAACCUCUGUUCCCGCUUUCUCCGCCAUGCUGGGCGCCGGAGCGCACUGUGUUCCAAGAAGUGAUGCCCGACCAUCUCCAGAGCAGCGUGGACUCCAGGGCGGGCAAUGGGCCUCUGCCACCUCACCUGCAGAGCCGACGGGAGGAAACGGCUCCGAGGCCCAGGGCAGGUAGACUCGGGCAGCCUGGGCCUGGGGUCUGGAAGACUCGGCCUCCAGGACGUGAUUUGUUGCUCUGGCCGCGGCUUCCGGCUGCUCCCGGUGCCCCCAGUUUGGCCUCACCCUCUGCUCCUGGGCCCCAGGCCCUCCCACUCUCACUGGCCCGUCCUCGGAGGGGCCAGAAGGGCCUGCCGCCCUCUCGGCCAGGGAUGGCUGAGCGCAGGCCUUCGUAGCCCUCUGGCAGGCCUGCACAUUGAAUGCACUCACAUCCCAAAGAGAAUCGAAUUUCUUUACCAUUCCUUGUAAUUUCCUGGUAAUCACAUCACACGGGGGAACUUCCAGGAAGUGGACGACUAAGAUAAACAUGGUUUCCAAAUGUUGUAAACACAAUGUUGUAAAAGAUGCAACGAUGAUAGGGAUGUAACAGCGUGUUCUGCCCUGCGCACAGUCACUUGACGGACAGACACCCGGCAGUGACCCGGACACACAGUGGUCACGGACAAAUCUCACAGACACGAGCUCAGGAAGCCAGACACAAAACAGACGCACUGACUCCACUGAUAGGAAGCGCAAACCAGGCGGAAUCACCCUGUGGUGUCAGAGGUCAGGAUAGGGUUCCCCUGGGGAGUGGGGUGGUUACGGGCAGGUCUUCGGGGAGCUCUGGGGGCUGGCAACACUCCGUUCUUGAUCCGGGUCCUGGUGGCGCGACGCGUUCAGUUCGCGAAGACUCGUAGAGCUGCGCGCAUUUAAGCGGUGCCGUGUGCUUUCUACGCUCCGUUUUAGUGAAAGCCGAACCGUGAAACCUUCACUGGUUUUGAAUUCGUAAUCUGAUCUCACGUUUUGGAGCCAAUCCAUGUGUUCAGGUCUCAUUCAUCUUCGGAGGGCCCAGACCUGGUGUAUUAACAAUCUGGGCCACAGACGGCCACGUCCCUCCCCCUGGGCUGAGGCCUCCCGUCCUGCCUGCUCCCCGAGCAUCACCCAGCGGAGGGAGGGCCCAGGAGGUCAGGGCGGUGGGCUCUACAGAGAGACGCCAGUCACCACCUCCCAGGCUGGGGAGAGCUCAG